RNAcentral lists this ribosomal RNA (467 nucleotides) under uncultured bacterium. Its description in RNAcentral is "partial 16S ribosomal RNA". It matches the Rfam family "Bacterial small subunit ribosomal RNA", at positions 28 to 507 of the family's 1533-position model. The record is from RNAcentral.
GAUGAACGCUGGCGGCGCGCCUAACACAUGCAAGUCGAACGAUUAAAGCACCGUCGGGUGUGUAUAAAGUGGCGAACGGCUGAGUAACACGUGUGCAACCUGCCCCUCUCAUUGGGAUAGCCACGGAAAACCGUGGAUACUACCGAAUACUUCGAGACUUCCGCUUGGAGGACUCGAGAAAGCUCCGGCGGAGAGGGAUGGGCCCGCGGCCUGUUGGCUUGUUGGUGGGGUAACGGCCUACCAAUGCAAUGACGGGUAGCUGGGUUGAGAGAACGACCAGCCAGAUUGGGACUGAGAUACGGCCCAGACUACUACGGGAGGCAGCAGUGGGGAAUCGUGCACAAUGGGCGAAAGCAUGAUGCAGCGAAGCCGCGUGCGGGAUAAAGGCCUUCGGGUUGUAAAGCGCAUUCAGCAGGGACGAGGCGAAAGUGACGGUACCUGCAGAAGAAGCCCCGGCUAACUACGUG